RNAcentral lists this ribosomal RNA (250 nucleotides) under uncultured bacterium. Its description in RNAcentral is "partial 16S ribosomal RNA". It matches the Rfam family "Bacterial small subunit ribosomal RNA", at positions 337 to 601 of the family's 1533-position model. The record is from RNAcentral.
ACCUACGGGGGGUAGCAGUGGGGAAUAUUGGGCAAUGGGCGCAAGCCUGACCCAGCAACGCCGCGUGAAGGAAGAAGGCUUUCGGGUUGUAAACUUCUUUUGUCAGGGACGAAGCAAGUGACGGUACCUGACGAAUAAGCCACGGCUAACUACGUGCCAGCAGCCGCGGUAAUACGUAGGUGGCAAGCGUUAUCCGGAUUUAUUGGGUGUAAAGGGCGUGUAGGCGGGAAUGCACGUCAGAUGUGAAAAC